CGCACAAACAUAUACCAACAAGUAAACAAAACAUUUGACCAUCCUAGUAGAUGUGAUCGAACAGUAAACCAUUUAUGUACCGAAAGGGAAACUAAACAAGCAACAAACAGCAAAGAUUAACCCUUGUACCUUUCGCAUCAUGGUCUAGCAAGAAACCAAAGACAAGAAGAAUCAAAGUCUCUCCCCCGAAACCAGAUGAGCUACUUUCAAGCAGCCUAGCGGGCGCACCCUUCUCUGUAGCAAAAGAGUGGGAAGACUUAAAAGUAGAAGUGAAACGCCUACCGAAUCUGGAGAUAGCUGGCUACCCAAAAAAGAAUAUAAGUUCAACCACAGAACCACCAAGAAUCUAUUCUUUCCUGUGGAAAAUCAAUAGGGGUACAGCCCUAUUGAAACAGGAUACAACCUGAAUUUGAGAGGAAAAUCCCCCCUGCCCCCAGUAGGCCCUAAAGCAGCCACCUAACAAAAUAUCGUUAAAGAAUUACACGACUUAAACCCUACACUAAUCAAAAACUCCAAACCAACUAAGGGUAAACCCAUUAUAAUGGGUCCUACUAUGCUAGAACUAAUAAUAAGACAACAUCUCUUCAUGCACCUUUCUGCUAAAACCGGACCAACCACUAGCCAUUAACAGACCACAUUAGGAAUAAACUAAACACUGCACAACUUUAAACAAACUGUUACCCCAACACAGGCGCAUCAAAAAGAAAGAUUUACCAUUAUAAAAGGAACUCGGCAAACAAAGACUUCAACUGUUUAACAAAAACAUAACCUUUAGACUAACCAAUAUUAAAGGCAACGCCUGCCCAGUGAACAUUAAACGGCCGCGGUACCCUAACCGUGCAAAGGUAGCAUAAUCAUUUGUCUACUAAUUAUAGACCUGUAUGAAAGGCAAAAUGAAAGUCUGACUGUCUCUUAUAAUAAACCAAUUAAACUGAUCUCCUAGUAAAAAAGCUAGAAUUAAACCAUAAGACCAGAAGACCCUGUGAAGCUUAAACUACACUAUUAAACCCAGUAAUAACUACUUUCGGUUGGGGCGACCUUGGAAAAAAAAAGAACUUCCAACAAUACGACCUACCUCGUACCACUCACACAGGCCCACAAGCCAACUAAUGACCCAGCAAAGCUGAUAAUUGAACCAAGUUACUCCAGGGAUAACAGCGCAAUCCUCUUCAAGAGCCCAUAUCAAAAAGAGGGUUUACGACCUCGAUGUUGGAUCAGGACAUCCUAAUGGUGCAGACGCUAUUAAGGGUUCGUUUGUUCAACGAUCAACAGUCCUACGUGAUCU
This 1285-nucleotide ribosomal RNA is filed under the name Oligodon lacroixi. RNAcentral describes it as "partial 16S ribosomal RNA". It matches the Rfam family "Bacterial large subunit ribosomal RNA", at positions 439 to 2606 of the family's 2925-position model. Lineage: Eukaryota; Metazoa; Chordata; Lepidosauria; Squamata; Colubridae. The record is from RNAcentral.